ACCUUUACCUAGUGAAAGUAUAUUUUCAUCUGAAAGGUAUAGUGGUAGCUACAAAGCUUUGAACCAAAUCCUUUGGUUCAGAUUUCUAUAUACUUCACCCAUAACAAAUGCAAAUACUGGGUUCAUCAUAGGUGGUGCUUUUUCUGGCCUUAUGCACCAAUAUCUCAGUUUCAUGAGUGCUCUAGGGGUUAAACCCUUAUCCCCAUAGAUUGCGGCCACACAAUCACACUCACAUAGGUGAGUCUUCCAAGGGUGCUCGCAGCACAGCACCUUGCCAUAGACUCGGACUCAUUCAGAGUUUUAAACUCUUCCGUAUACCUCUGCUGUAUUUAGCACUCACAUCACAGGGAGAGACCAAAUGACAUAAAGUCAUUUUAUAAUAGUGCUAACUAAUCAUUAAACAACUUGUUUUUCCCGUUGAACCUUUC
This 428-nucleotide long non-coding RNA is filed under the name Phoenix dactylifera (date palm). RNAcentral's name for it is "long non-coding RNA (PDAC_LNC004741)". The record is from RNAcentral. Lineage: Eukaryota; Viridiplantae; Streptophyta; Magnoliopsida; Arecales; Arecaceae.